RNAcentral lists this transfer RNA (71 nucleotides) under Loxodonta africana (African savanna elephant). It matches the Rfam family "tRNA". Rfam says of the family: Transfer RNA (tRNA) molecules are approximately 80 nucleotides in length. Lineage: Eukaryota; Metazoa; Chordata; Mammalia; Proboscidea; Elephantidae. The record is from Rfam by way of RNAcentral.
ACAUUGAUGGUUCAGUGGUAGAAUUCUCACCUUCCAUGCGGGAGUGCUGGGUUUAACUCCUGGACAAUGUA